Molecule: non-coding RNA, 72 nt
Organism: Clonostachys solani
Lineage: Eukaryota; Fungi; Ascomycota; Sordariomycetes; Hypocreales; Bionectriaceae
Source: the annotation of a GenBank genome assembly
UUGGGACUGGUGCAAUUGGUAGCACAUUUGAGUAUCAGGCAAAAGGUCCUGGUUCGAGUCCAGGGUUCGGGA